RNAcentral lists this ribosomal RNA (231 nucleotides) under uncultured bacterium. RNAcentral's name for it is "partial 16S ribosomal RNA". It matches the Rfam family "Bacterial small subunit ribosomal RNA", at positions 103 to 334 of the family's 1533-position model. The record is from RNAcentral.
CGGGUGAGUAACGCGUGGGUAACCUGCCUUAUACAGGGGGAUAACAGUCAGAAAUGGCUGCUAAUACCGCAUAAGCGCACAGAGCUGCAUGGCUCAGUGUGAAAAACUCCGGUGGUAUAAGAUGGACCCGCGUUGGAUUAGCUAGUUGGUGGGGUAACGGCCCACCGAGGCGACGAUCCAUAGCCGGCCUGAGAGGGUGACCGGCCACAUUGGGACUGAGACACGGCCCAA